AUACGUAGGGUGCAAGCGUUAAUCGGAAUUACUGGGCGUAAAGCGUGCGCAGGCGGUUUUGUAAGACAGUGGUGAAAUCCCCGGGCUCAACCUGGGAACUGCCAUUGUGACUGCAAGGCUGGAGUGCGGCAGAGGGGGAUGGAAUUCCGCGUGUAGCAGUGAAAUGCGUAGAUAUGCGGAGGAACACCGAUGGUGAAGGCAAUCCCCUGGGCAUGCACUGACGCUCAUGCACGAAAGCGUGGGGAGCAAACAGGAUUAGAUACCCUGGUAGUCCACGCCCUAAACGAUGUCAACUGGUUGUUGGGGAUUUAUUUUCUCAGUAACGAAGCUAACGCGUGAAGUUGACCGCCUGGGGAGUACGGCCGCAAGGUUAAAACUCAAAUGAAUUGACGGGG
RNAcentral lists this ribosomal RNA (395 nucleotides) under uncultured bacterium. Its description in RNAcentral is "partial 16S ribosomal RNA". It matches the Rfam family "Bacterial small subunit ribosomal RNA", at positions 523 to 918 of the family's 1533-position model. The record is from RNAcentral.